This 8636-nucleotide long non-coding RNA is filed under the name Zea mays. RNAcentral's name for it is "long non-coding RNA (ZMAY_LNC001091)". The record is from RNAcentral. Lineage: Eukaryota; Viridiplantae; Streptophyta; Magnoliopsida; Poales; Poaceae.
UCUCGCAUUAUUAUUUAUACCACACAUCGCUCAUGCAGAACUAAUUUAAUUUUACUUCGUAUUACUGAUUUCACCAUACUUACACAAAUCUAAAUAGUCGCAACUCAUUUACAUUCAUCAAAGUAUUUACCUCCUCCUUAACUCAAUCAAGUCUAAAGCAAACAUUUAGAAAGAACGAACUGACCAUAUAUAACAAGGAAUUUGGAUAAACACUUCAUAUGCAACAAGUUUUCAUCAAUCAAGGAUUGACUAAUCCUUCCUAGACAAACAAAAAUGACACCAAGAAAUCAGUUUAACACAUGCAGAUUUUCUAGACAGCAGCACAGCGGUUAACGAUUUUAUUCAUAAAACACAAAAUAUGCAUCCAAAAAUGGUAAACUAAGACUUUCUGGAAAGCCUAAGAAAUCCUCUACAACUUUGGUAUUAUAAUCACCAUGAGAUAAGACACUUAGAAAGGUCAAUCAGAAUUAUACGAUAAUGUUGUCUAGAUUUGGACAGAAUUCGACUACUCACUUCAAAAAUCCAUAAUCAGAGAUGUAGACAUCCAAAACAUGUGAUCCUAGACUUUUUAGAAAGCUAAUAAAAUUGUCUACAACUCAUUUAUAAUCAUCUCAAGGUGAUUCAAUGUGUAUCGAAGUCAGUUAAUUCAAACACACAUUGCUGUCCACACUUCUGACAGAUUCAAACAUCACAUUUCAAACAGCCAUAACUUGACUUCUAGACCACCAGAAAGGGUGCUCCAAAAAUUGUUGAAAAGCUUAAGAAAAGUACUACAAUUCUUCUAUAAUUACUAAGGGCUAAUUCUUAGUUUAAUUUAGUCAAACAAGGCAAUUUUCGAAAUCAGUACAGAAUCUGGACAGAUUCGUAUACUGUACUUGAAAAAAUCAUAACUCCUAAACUACUAAACCUAUGGUCAUGAAAUUUUUACGCAAGCAAGAUAAAGGAGUUAUCUAUAACUUUUCUAUAUAACACUUCUACAGAAAAUAUGAUUUAAUUCACUCAAUUAUUACCCCACAACAGAGAGGAUGUGUGCAGCAAAAUUUAACUCAGAGACAAUCAAGUUCCCUAAGCGAGAUUAUGACAAACCAAAUACGACAUAUCUACUUAUUAACAUAAUAACCACAUCACAGGCGAGGAGACACUUCAACAUCACCUAAUCUACCCACAAUUAUCACAAUUAAAAUACAAACAAGGAGAUUCUUCCCUGCACGCUGAGGGGCAGCACACAGGCACGUCAAAAGACCUAGAAAUCAAUACCUCGCACCCCUCCUACAUAAAAGAAACCAUCGUGACUAAUAUAGCUAUUAAUCUAUUCAUCAAUUAAAUUAGUCGUAAAAAAACAAUGUGUCAUACCACUACUAAGUUGACUCGGAUGAAAGCAAAAACAGCGACGAUCUAAUGUUUAGACCUUUCGUCGAGCAUAUGUUGAGCGUCGCACUGGCCUCGCUUCUUCUCCAUCAAAAAAAAACUAAAUGUCUUCACAUAUCGUGAUCAAUACAUCUAUUCAAUCCAUCGAUCUAAUCAAUUAACAAAAAUAGCGAACUAGAGAACGAUUACCGAACCAACUAUAACUCCAAGCAAACGUUGACGAUUUUGGUUCAUGCCAUUCACCGAACAUCUAGCGAGCAGCGUGUUGGGGCUUUCUCCUCCAUACACUCCUAGGAUUCCUUUAUCCCAAAUCCACGCACAUAUACACAUAUAUCAGCAAGGUACUAGCAAAUUUGUGGGUACUAAGAACUAACAAGACAACACAAGAGAUCUGGGGAUUACUACAGCAAACAAAAAUAACAGUGAGAGUGGGCAGUGAGGUUGAAGACCUGCACGGCGAACGUGUCUGGUGUGAGCACACGAGCCGAAACUAGAAGACGAAGGCGGGGUAAAUCAGUGGAGCGGUUCGAGCUAGAAGAUGUUGUGUUGGCGAUGCUUCACAGACGAGGAGACUUGGAGCAGGGCACACGGUUCUAGUGUGUGCACGGCUGGAGGCGAGGUCGAAGUCGAGGACGCACGCCCGACGAGGAACAGGGAGGGGCGAUGGCGAGCUGGGGCGCAGGGGUGAGCUCACAUCUGGGGAGGUGAGGAGGGCGGCUGGAGAUUGAGGAAGAUAGAGGCUGGGCGGCUAGUGCUCCAUGGGAAGGAAAACAGAGACCGAGGAGAUGACGCCCAGGGCACUGGAUAAGGCUAUCAACCUGUUCAGCGGCGUGGAGAGGAGAAGAAUGAAUUUUCUUCAUUUUUUUGUUAAUAAAAUAUAAUUAUAUCUCUGGUUUCUAGAAUUAGGAUUUUUGCGAUGUGUGAACAGGCCGGACCAAAAUUAUAUGGGUGAUUGUAUUUAGACAACGCUUGCUGAAGUUUGAAAUUGGACAAAAAUGUAUCUGCGGGAACAUAUUUAAUUUUUUUGCCUUAAUGAACAGGGAAACGGAUUAAUUACGAAUACACGGUCUCAGCUCCAAUUAUCUCGGUCUAGUUUAGUUUUGCAUCAGUACUUUUGUCAUCGAGGUCUAAUAUUAUUUGUUGGGGACAAAUUCAUACGACGGAGUUGACCCUCCAAAGUUGCAGCCAAUGACACUAAUUAAUUCUAAAUAGACAAGAGACUCGAGACUUGGUUUAACCAGACAUAGUAAAAUUUCGUGAUGCAUUUGAUUUCCCCGCCACAGAUAACUUGCUGAAGAAAUAGUUUCUAAUUUAUUAACCAUGUGCACGAUUUCUGGGUUGACGAGCACUGUCCAAAUUAAAAAAAAUGUGGAUACGCCGUAAAUCCACAUUCACCUACUCGUGCGCCGACUGGCUCAGGAGGUAAUUAAAAUUUCAAACUUGUGAAACAUUUGAGAUAGUCCAAGUAAAUAAAGGUGAAAAUGACGCCAAACUCAGGAUAGGCUAAGAAAAUUAAGACAUAGGGACCUUUAUUCUUACCGACAUUCCAAGCUUAAGUUCAUCGUCUCUGUCGAACAGAAGGUAAACAUCAGGGGUGUUACAACCCUCCCCCCUUAAAAGAAUCUCGUCCCGAGAUUCAGAACGAAAUACUUUUAAGAGUAGAUAGGCGUGUAACCCCGUCCAUAUCAGUGAUAGCAUAAGGCUGUUCCAAGCAGAGGCGGGGGUCUCAGGAUGUUGUUUCUCUAGUGGGUAUAGCAUGUAUCACUUUUAAGCUGAUUAGAGAUUUCAAUAAGAGAGACGAUAUCUAACAGAAGAAGUCAUAGGGUUCCAUAUGUGCAGUCACUACCAGGGUCAAGAGAAAAGAGAUCACAAAUCAAAAAGGUGAUUAAUUGAUUUUUUUUAUCACACAAUUAGACACAGAUGAGUUUUGAUUUUUAUGGAGAUUUCUAAAUUGGUAGUGAAUUCGUUAAAGAGCACAUUAAAGCGGUAUGCUCCCUGAUCCAAUAGAGAUGACAGAUGUUGCUUGAGUAUUUCACACACAACAUAGAAAUUGUUUCAAGGGAGAGGUCUACGAAAGAUAACAUAUCAAUGUAGUUCCAUAAUGGAUCAUGACUAGAGACCUUGAUACCAGCAUCCGACAAGUAGCACAGUCCCGUGUGCGCAUUCACAGGGAGCUCUCAGAUUCGCUGCGGCACCAUAAGUCCUUAACCAUGACACCAUCACCGAACUGGCACCAAUAAAGAAUCUCACGUGGCAAAACUAGACAUUGUGCCAAGAUAACACAUUGAUAUAGUUUCAUAAUGGAUUACAACUACUAACCGCGAUACCAGCGCGUGCCGAGCAACACAACCGUGUGUGCGCGCGCACAGAAGGCCCCCGGUUUCGUCGCGGCACCGUCAGUUUUAGUCAUAACACCAUUACCAAACAUAACCAAUAAGAAAUCUCACGCGACACAAAUAGACUGAGCCAAGAUGACAAUAUACAAAAGAGACUCCACCUGUAAGAAUGAUUACAAGUAGAGAGUCAAAUAGAUCAUGACCCGAUGAAGUGAACACGAUACAGCCAAAACCGAAAAUUGGUUGAUAAGGGAGUACGAUGGGAGACUGUUACUUUAGCCCCAAGCAUAUUUCUAUGUCCAUUGCAGAGAUUAUUCAUGUCAAUAAUUAGCGUCCAAUAAGAUAUGGAAGGGAAACAAUCAUAAGAUUAAAUUGAUAAGCCUUCGAGAGAUAUGAAAAAAAUCAAAGGCAUUAAAUUCAAGAAAAUGAUUGGGCACUGCUUUCCUAGGUUGGACUGAGAAAGCAACAAGAUGAUCCUGAUGGAGACGCAAACUGACAUAGAGAUAUCAGCUUGCACCAACCGAACAAAGGUAUGUUUUAGGAUGAAAAUAUAACCAUAAGAGCUACAAGUUGGCUGUUAAGAUCAGGGACUCGAGAUUAUUAUUAUUUUUUAAAGUUUGAGUGCAUCUUAGGUCCAAUAAGGGGAUUACCUAAACAUCUAUUUAUAUGACCUUGAUCACAAAGUAACGAUGGAAAAAUUUAGACUCAUCCAAUGGAAAAAUUUUAGGAAAUUAACAUCGAUUUGGGUCAUGGCUCCUAGAUGAGGACAUGGCCAAAUUUUUAGUUUACACAAACAUACCACCAACAUUCUACCGGCACAAACACACCAGAACAAACACAAGUUGGACUAGUGGUCAAACUAAGAAGAACCAUAGGCCACAUAAAUACAUGUCUAAAGGACCCAACAAAUAAGACUAGAAAUUUGCUUAUAGGAUAGUAAUGCUUCACACAUUUUCCAAUUAUUUAUUAUCGGAAUAAAGAUGAGGGAAGCACGUUCGUUCACAAUCACCAAUUAUUAGAAUAAAGGUGAGAGAAGCUUAUUUGUGCACAAACGACAAACACAAUGCAACAAUCAGGAUGCAUGCUCGUCCUAUUCGUUCACGAAUUUCGCCAAUAUAAUGUGGCAAUAGCGUUAUAUAUCGGUGGCAUAUCUACGUUCUCUCUCGGUAUAUUGCUAGUCGUCAGCUACACAUACGGGUUCGAAGUUAGUGUACCUGUAGAAAAUUUCCAUCACAGCCCAUUUCCCAAUGAUGCAAUUCACACAUGACAGUUUAUCACAGUUUAUACUCCAUAUAUUUCUAUAUGGUGGCCAGCUCCUCAUUAAGCGCCGAGCCACGCAUAGGCGCCGCUGCCACACUUUAACCACAGGGCAACCCAUUAUGGUAACUCACCUUCUUACCUGAUCGUAGGUGCGUCAUUGCAAGUACAUUACAUUUCUCAGUAGUCCCAUGUCGUAGUCCCAUGUCUGUAUGCCCAAACACAUCCAUGGGGUACUGAAUCCACAGAUAAGUAAUUACUCCACAUCGCAGCCUUCAUAUAUACAUAUGUGUAACAUGUAUAUAAUCAAGCGCUUUCUAUACUCUCCCCUAGACCGACGUUUGUUCGGUCAUGCUCUCACAUCUCACCUUACCUGAGCGUCGAGUCAUUCAAAACUGAAUGGCCUCAAAAAUAACAUUACACAUGUAUGCAAUAUUCCCCCCAGUUGUGGGUUAGUGUUUUGAACUAAGCCACCUGAUAGUCCUUAAUUUAGGGCUUAAUAGAGGAUGUCGCUAGCAUUAUAGUUUUUCAAAUCUAUUUUUCAAAACCAAACAAUGUGUUUAGUUGAAAAUAGAUUUUUGAAACCAAAACUUUGUUUUAAAAAUAUGUAUGUGAUUGUAUUAUACUUAAUUCAGCUCUGAUACCAGCUGAGGCAGAACCUCCCAAGUUAUUGGGCUCACAUGCACCUGUCCUUGUCCCAAGGACCACAAACGGCUAUGCAUGUGCACCAAACAACUUAACAGGAUCUGUCUGAGUGUCCCAAUGACCCCGGAUAAACCACUUACCGCAGAGAUCGCAGGAUUAAGUAAACACAACUCACACACAAACACUUGCAGCGGAAAUAAACUCUUUAUUGCAAAAUGAUUACAAGUUUAUCAAGAUUUUAUUAUACCUCAUCGGAGUGAUUACAAAAGAAAGUGUUUCAAAAGAAUUACACUUUAAAAUGUUAUAGAAUAUUUGUAAAUUUGAAAUACAUGCUAGCUUAAGUGACAAUCCUCAUUAAAGAAACUAUAGGAGGGAUAUACUUAUAUAAGAAGGCCGAGCCCACCGGCACUUAGCACCAUCCACAACAUAACAAAAUUACAACCUGAAAAACAACAGGGAAUAAAACCCUGAGUACGCAAUUACUCAGCAAGACUUACCUGACUAAAGAAAAGACUCUCAAGGGUAUGCUGGUUUGUCGGGAAUCAAGGUAAAGCUUAUCAAAUUUCAAAGACUCAUUUUUGCAGAAAAGCUUACUAGUAGUGGAUCCUUAUGCCAAAAUUUUACAUCAUAAGUUAAGUACUUUUCCUGAAUCUAGAUUUGCCUAAUCUAGAGCAUUCACUUGUCCUAUACUAACUUUCUUUUAAAUCAAAAGUUUGUUUCGCUUGUUAUCUACGAUGAAGGGCAGUGAUCUAGUCUUCACAUCCGAGAAGUAACGGCGAUCCGAAUCGAUUAAUACCCAGCUGGGGAUCUCCAACCACACGACAUAUGUAGCACUUAACCCUUGCAUAUGUCAACCAUUCCCACGGAUCCUCCACUACAUGAACAGGUCCGCGCUACCCGGGAGCACAUUACCCUACCAUCCAGCCUCUUGCCAGGAGGGUAACUGCUACUCCCACCAUCUCCCACGUCCAGUGCGCUGUUGUCUUUUCACGUAUGGAAUAGUCGGGUUCAGGCUUACCCAUGACGAUGUAUGUGGCCAGUUAAAAUGUCCUAGAUCAUCAGGCCAACAAUCGGUACGGUCCUUAAUCGACACAGACGGACGACCUUUCCUGCUCAACGUCUGAUCCCAUUUUAAACUAUUUCAAAAAUUUGGCGCCUGACAGAGGGGCCAUGCCUGGAUAAUGAAUUUAUCAACGUCUUGAUGCCUUCAUUAUCCCAAGCUCAUUUUCUUUUUUGUAAAAACAUGAGUCAUAUAUCAAAAAUAUGUUUCUUAAUAUAUCAGCAAGACUAAGCAUCUCUAGCUUUUAUAAAACGGGUGACAAGGUGUGGUAAUCAACCUUUCAAGGAUGGUAAUGCAUCAAAUGUUUAAUCACUCAACUCCUAUCACCUAAUGCAGCAUAUAAGUGAUAAAAUUUUGUAAACACAAGGAAGGUGACAAAUGCACCGGGGCUUGCCUGAGAUAACACUAUGUUAGUGUUGUUAGAUGAUGGCCACUUGACGAUCAACUUUUAUUCUGACACCCGCUUAGUCCAUCUAGCUUCAGGAUCAUCGGCCGACAUCGUCUUGUGGGUUGUUUUGAUCCACACCCCUCGCUUCGCACGAUUUUCAGCUAGCGUACCUAAUUAGAUGUACAAUGCACAUGUAUAAACAUAAGGAAGAAUAACACAACAUAUUACACACAAUAAAGAAUUAAGCACAAUGACGAGGCGCUGCAACACUUGUGAGAAAAUACUAGACGUCAACAAAUGACUAAGUACAACAAGGACGACCACGGGUUCUAACCCAAACAUCGAGAAACUUUAAACGAAUACAAGUCCUAUCGUACUUAGGUAGAGUAUAAUACAAAAGAUUCAUCCGAUUAAAUUCACUAUAACUGGCUUCUAGGACUAACAUAUGGAGAGAAGCAAACUAACACAUUUAACACAAUUAGCCUAAACAGACUUAUCAGCUAAUUAUUGAAAUGCUACAUUUAUCUCUCGCAUUAUUAUUUAUACCACACAUCGCUCAUGCAGAACUAAUUUAAUUUUACUUCAUAUUACUGAUUUCACCAUACUUACACAAAUCUAAAUAGUCGCAACUCAUUUACAUUCAUCAAAGUAUUUAUCUCCUCCUUAAUUCAAUCAAGUCUAAAGCAAACAUUUAGAAAGAAUGAACUGACCAUAUAUAACAAGGAAUUUGGAUAAACACUUCAUAUGCAACAAGUUUUCAUCAAUCAAGGAUUGACUAAUCCUUCCUAGGCAAACAAAAAUGACACCAAGAAAUCAGUUUAACACAUGCAGAUUUUCUAGACAGCAGCACAGCGGUUAACGGUUUUAUUCAUAAAACACAAAAUAUGCAUCCAAAAAUGGUAAACUAAGACUUUUUGGAAAGCCUAAGAAAUCCUCUACAACUUUGGUAUUAUAAUCACCAUGAGAUAAGACACUUAGAAAGGUCAAUCAGAAUUAUACGAUAAUGUUGUCUAGAUUUGGACAUAAUUCGACUACUCACUUCAAAAAUCCAUAAUCAGAGAUGUAGACAUCCAAAACAUGUGAUCCUAAACUUUUUAGAAAGCUAAUAAAAUUGUCUACAACUCAUUUAUAAUCAUCUCAAGGUGAUUCAAUGUGUAUCGAAGUCAGUUAAUUCAAACACACAUUGCUGUUCACACUUCUGACAGAUUCAAACAGCCAUAACUUGACUUCUAGACCACCAGAAAGGGUGCUCCAAAAAUUGUUGGAAAGCUUAAGAAAAGUACUACAAUUCUUCUAUAAUUACUAAGGGCUAAUUCUCAGUUUAAUUUAGUCAAACAAGGAAAUUUUCGAAAUCAGUACAGAAUCUGGAUAGAUUCGUAUACUGUACUUGAAAAAAUCAUAACUCCUAAACUACUAAACCUAUGGUCAUGAAAUUUUUACGCAAGCAAGAUAAAGGAGUUAUCUAUAACUUUUCUAUAUAACACUUCUACAGAAAAUAUGAUUUAAUUCACUCAAUUAUUACCCCACAACAGAGAGGAUGUGUGCAGCAAAAUUCAACUCAGAGACAAUCAGGUUCCCUAAG